GCACCUAUGGUGAAAUGGAUAUCACAAUAGUCUUCGGAACUAUUAUUCCAGGUUCGAAUCCUGGUGGGUGCACAA
This 75-nucleotide transfer RNA is filed under the name Patescibacteria group bacterium. RNAcentral describes it as "tRNA-Arg". It matches the Rfam family "tRNA". From Rfam's summary of the family: Transfer RNA (tRNA) molecules are approximately 80 nucleotides in length. Their secondary structure includes four short double-helical elements and three loops (D, anti-codon, and T loops). The record is from RNAcentral.